RNAcentral lists this ribosomal RNA (768 nucleotides) under Triticum aestivum (bread wheat). Its description in RNAcentral is "partial small subunit ribosomal RNA". The record is from RNAcentral. Lineage: Eukaryota; Viridiplantae; Streptophyta; Magnoliopsida; Poales; Poaceae.
AUGAAAAAUGCCAUUCACUUGGUGACUAAUCAUUUCACACACUUGUUUACGGCCAGGGCAGGAGCUGGAGCUAACCACAACAGAGUGUUACAAGAUGUGGAGCCACGAGUUACAGAACAGAUGAACGAGAUGUUAGGUAAGGAGUACACUCCGGAGGAAAUCAAGAAAGCACUUGACGAUAUGGGGGAUCUCAAAGCCCCAGGUGCGGAUGGUAUGCCAGUGAUUUUCUAUAAGAGAUUAUGGACUACUGUGGGUGAUGCGGUUACACAAGAGGUGUUACAUGUGUUGCGAGGCGGCUGUAUACCGGAGGGAUGGAACGAAGCAAUUGUUGUGCUUAUCCCAAAGGUUCGGAACCCUGAUCGAAUCAAAGAUCUUUGCCCUAUUAGCCUUUGCAAUGUGGUGUACAAACUUGUGUCAAAAGUUAUCGCCAACCGACUCAAGAUGAUCUUGGAUGAAAUUAUCUCUGACAACCAGAGUGCGUUUGUGCCGGGAUGGUUGAUAUCGGAUAAUACUAUUCUUGCCUAUGAGAUGACCCAAUUCAUGAAAAGGAAAAGGAAGGGCAAGGAUGUUUACAUGGCACUCAAGUUGGAUAUGAGCAAAGCAUACGAUCGUGUUGAGUGGUUUUUCCUCGAAGGGAUGAUGAGGAAGAUGGGGUUCAGGGAGGAGUUUGUGCAGCUGAUCAUGAAGUGUGUGAGUUCGGUGUCAUAUAGAUUCAAAGUGAACGGCACGCUCACAGAUGUUGUGGUUCCAGGCAGGGGGCUAAGGUAG